This 200-nucleotide ribosomal RNA is filed under the name uncultured Anaerolineaceae bacterium. RNAcentral describes it as "partial 16S ribosomal RNA". It matches the Rfam family "Bacterial small subunit ribosomal RNA", at positions 1183 to 1382 of the family's 1533-position model. The record is from RNAcentral. Lineage: Bacteria; Bacillati; Chloroflexota; Anaerolineae; Anaerolineales; Anaerolineaceae.
CGUCAAGUCAGCAUGACCUUUAUAUCCAGGGCUACACACACGCUACAAUGGACAGUACAACAGGUUGCCAAGCCGCGAGGCGGGGCCAAUCCCAGAAAGCCGAUCGUAGUCCGGAUCGCAGUCUGCAACUCGACUGCGUGAAGUCGGAAUCGCUAGUAAUCGUGGAUCAGCAUGUCACGGUGAAUACGUUCCCGGGUCUU